GACGAACGCUGGCGGCGUGCUUAACACAUGCAAGUCGAACGGAAAGGCCUCUUUCGGGGGGUACUCGAGUGGCGAACGGGUGAGUAACACGUGAGUAACCUGCCCUUGACUUUGGGAUAACUUCAGGAAACUGGGGCUAAUACCGGAUAGGAGCUCCUGCUGCAUGGUGGGGGUUGGAAAGUUUCGGCGGUUGGGGAUGGACUCGCGGCUUAUCAGCUUGUUGGUGGGGUAGUGGCUUACCAAGGCUUUGACGGGUAGCCGGCCUGGGAGGGUGACCGGCCACAUUGGGACUGGGAUACGGCCCAGACUCCUACGGGGGGCAGCAGUGGGGAAUAUUGCACAAUGGGUGGAAGCCUGAUGCAGCAACGCCGUGUGCGGGAUGACGGCCUUCGGGUUGUAAACCGCUUUCGCUCAUGACGAAGCUUUGUGUGACGGUAGUGGGUAAAGAAGCACCGGCUAACUACGUG
This 467-nucleotide ribosomal RNA is filed under the name uncultured bacterium. Its description in RNAcentral is "partial 16S ribosomal RNA". It matches the Rfam family "Bacterial small subunit ribosomal RNA", at positions 28 to 507 of the family's 1533-position model. The record is from RNAcentral.